AUUGAACGCUAGCGGGAUGCUUUACACAUGCAAGUCGAACGAGUGGCGGACGGGUGAGUAAUAUCUGGGAACGUGCCCAGUGGAGGGGGAUAACUACUCGAAACAGUAGCUAAUACCGCAUACUAUCGGAGGUGCCCAGAUGGGAUUAGCUAGUUGGUGGGGUAAAGGCUCACCAAGGCGACGAUCCGUAGCUGGUCUGAGAGGAUGACCAGCCACACGGGGACUGAGACACGGUCCAGACUCCUACGGGAGGCAGCAGUGGGGAAUUUUGGACAAUGGGGGAAAGCCUGAUCCAGCCAUGCCGCGUGUAUGAUGAAGGCCUUCGGGUUGUAAAGUACUUUUAGCGGGGAGGCGUUAUCCGCAGAAUAAGCACCGGCUAACUACGUGCCAGCAGCCGCGGUAAUAC
Molecule: ribosomal RNA, 406 nt
Filed under: uncultured bacterium
Lineage: Bacteria
Description: partial 16S ribosomal RNA
Rfam family: Bacterial small subunit ribosomal RNA
Source: RNAcentral